GACGAACGCUGGCGGCGUGCUUAACACAUGCAAGUCGAACGGAAAGGCCCUGCUUUUGUGGGGUGCUCGAGUGGCGAACGGGUGAGUAACACGUGAGUAACCUGCCCUUGACUUUGGGAUAACUUCAGGAAACUGGGGCUAAUACCGGAUAGGAGCUCCUGCUGCAUGGUGGGGGUUGGAAAGUUUCGGCGGUUGGGGAUGGACUCGCGGCUUAUCAGCUUGUUGGUGGGGUAGUGGCUUACCAAGGCUUUGACGGGUAGCCGGCCUGAGAGGGUGACCGGCGACAUUGGGACUGAGAUACGGCCCAGACUCCUACGGGAGGCAGCAGUGGGGAAUAUUGCACAAUGGGCGGAAGCCUGAUGCAGCAACGCCGCGUGCGGGAUGACGGCCUUCGGGUUGUAAACCGCUUUCGCCUGUGACGAAGAGUGAGUGACGGUAAUGGGUAAAGAAGCAACGGCUAACUACGUG
This 468-nucleotide ribosomal RNA is filed under the name uncultured bacterium. RNAcentral describes it as "partial 16S ribosomal RNA". It matches the Rfam family "Bacterial small subunit ribosomal RNA", at positions 28 to 507 of the family's 1533-position model. The record is from RNAcentral.